This 38937-nucleotide long non-coding RNA is filed under the name Triticum aestivum (bread wheat). RNAcentral describes it as "long non-coding RNA (TAES_LNC009278)". Lineage: Eukaryota; Viridiplantae; Streptophyta; Magnoliopsida; Poales; Poaceae. The record is from RNAcentral.
UUAGAAUCAGUAGAAAAAUAUUAAAAACCUGUGUUCUGUAGGACUUGAACCCAGGUCAACUGGGUUAUAUAUCGGAAUCCAAAACAAUACACCAUGAAAUGAUUCAUGUACCAAAAUCUUAUAUUUUCUAAUUGAAGGCACCAUACGAGCCUCCACGCUAAUCCUCAAAAACUACUUAUAAGUAACCAUUAGAUCUUAAUCCCGCGUCUAGAAUUAAAUGAGAUAUAGAAAAUAUUGCCAUCUUUAGCAAUAUGUACAUUUAAAAGUAAGAGAUGCAACCAGGCAAGGGUCCAUACAAACUACACUUGAAAGGAAACGUGCCAUAUACCCUGCCUUAUUAUUAAAAAGUAAAUCAGGUAAAAAAAGGAGUCUUCACGCUAUAAAAAUCACCAUGUUCAUCUAUGUACGUAAAGAUUUAAGCCUAUACGUACACAAAGGAUAGGUCCUGCCUUAUUAUAAAAAAGUAAAUAAGGUAUAAAAAAAGGAGUCCUCACGGUAUAAAAAUCUGGCCAUGUUCAACUACGUCAAAGUUACAAUAAAUCAGGUUCCUUCACCAUUUUGAAAACGAAGGCAAAAAAGGUACGUACGGAACAUGUGCCUUUUCCUCACGCUAAAAAAUGAGCGCACAAUUUCAAAAAAAAAAGAGCGCACACCCCAGUUUCCAACUAUAUGGAAUCCACGUGCAUGUCCGCUUGAAGAAAUAAAAAAAAUAUACGGAGUCCAGAUGCCUCACGUUAAAACUAAAAGCCUAUGUCUGAUUGAAUUUUUUUUUCAAUCCUCAUGUACAAAAAGAAGACCCUUUUUUCUUUUUGCAGAAAAAAAUAAGACGGACGUGCAUAAGUUUCUCCAUAUUGACUCCUACAUGUCAUCAUCGCCAAGGUUAUUGGUUAAACGUAUAAAAUCACCUAUUUGUGACGCAAGAAAUAAUAUAUGAAUAAAUUGUCAUGCAUCAAAAAGUAUCAAUGAACUUAAACCAGUAAGGAAAAUAAUUGAACAAAUAUCAAUGACUUUUUUAUGGUGGUUAGAAUAUCACUCUUUUCGUGCUAGGGGUUGGAAAAGAAGAUCGUCAAGUAUUUCAAACAGGGACAUCAACCAGAUUCAUUAAGCUUUGAAUUUUUAGAGGGUAAAAUAUAUUUAAGUAUUGUAUGAGAUACUCUAUCAUUUAAUUUGAUGUUAGAUAGACAUAUUAUAAAUUACAAACUGAAAUAAAUCCUAUUUUCUACCGGUCUUGAUAUGUCACAUGUUGGAAUUUUACCUCAAACAAAGAAUGCUCUAUGAGUAUCCAGUGUGAAGGGAGAAAGAAAAAUUUCAUGAAUAAGGUUUAUACACAUAUAUGUCACGGCUGGGAAACGCAUGGGCAAAUAAAUCUCUUAUCCUCCAAUUCUUUAGUUGUACUUUUAGUUCCUUUAGUCCUGGCGGUGUCAAUCUUAUAAACUGUCAAUCCAUCACAAGUAUUCUUUCAAAAUGUUGCAUUCCCAACACAAUAAGAUCAACCUUAAAUUAACAUCCCACGGUCUCAAUAGAAUAGGAAUUGCAAUUUACGCACGUCCGCUUCCUAGAGGUGUCUCGACAUAAAAGAAUUAUUCUAACAUGCUGGUAUGAAUAUCACGUCUAUUGAUACAAUAGGUAGGGUGGUAGGAUGCCACCGACCUAUAAUUUUUUUAACACAAUGCAAUCGAAGAUGCUCACAGAUACGAGCAUAACUCACCCUAUGAACGCACGCACUACACUCAACCCUAUGAGCUCCUCCGAGAGACUGAGAUGACACAUCAAGUUGAGAUUGAUGAAGUCGCCACAGACGCCUUCGUAGUCGACGGGAACAUCUCCUCCUACUAAACGCACAUUGCCAUAAGGCCUGGAAUAAAUGCAGAAAAUCAUGAGGUUGACACUGUUUAUUUGGGACGAAGAUGCGCCACUAGUCCAUAAAAUCAAAUAGAUUGCAUAGUUUAGGCCAACAACUCAGGAACUGAUGGGAUUUAAUAUGUAAACUCGUUAAUUUGAUUAAAUAAGGCCAAAACCGGAUAAGGAAAAAAAUGACAACAUGGAUGCCAUGUCAUCAUUUCUUUUUUUUGCGGGAAUGUCAUCAUUUCUUUGACCGCUCAUAAAUUAACUAUUUUUACCGGGAUCCAUUUCCAAAUUGGCCGAAGGCUUGGGAGUGAAAAAAUGUUUAAAAAACGUUGCAUUGCCUACGACUUGAACCAAGACCUUUUGGAUGUAGCAAUGCAUCACUCACCACCAGAUCAACAACCUGUUUCCACACUAACAUGCAGCCUGAUAUAUAUAGACAUAGAAUCAGUGGAAAAAUAAUUAAAAACUAGUGUUCUGUAGGACUUUAACCCUGGUCAACUGGGUUAGAAAUCGGCAUCCAAAACAAUACACCACGAAGUAAUUCAUGUACUAGUAUGCAGCCUAAUUUAUAUAUCCACACAGAAUCAUGUGAAACAUAUAUAUUCUGAUCAUGUAAGUGAUUCUGUAAUACUAUUCCGAUCCUACAAUCAGAAUAAUAUCCAAUACAAUAAGCUACGGGAGAAUGGCGCCUCCUUGUGCGUUCGCAUGUACGACAAAAGAUAGAUCGCGCAGGGCUACGCAGACGCACCGGUAUUGGGCAGAAAAGAUAUAGACAGGGAAAAAAUGGGAGCUCGUCUCGUCUCCACCUCUCCCCUACACGCCGCCUCCUCAUCUCCACCCCCCACCUCCUCUGGUGGCCUCGGCUCCUACCCGGCCGGCUCGUCGCAGCAGCAGGCCGCAGGAAGCUGCGGUGGUCGGCAGUGGAGAAGCAGCACCGGAUGACGACAGCGGACCAGAUCGGUGAGUGACAGGAGAGGACACGAUGGACGUCACGGGCAGAGCAGAGUGAACCCGGCGCGGGGACCGGGCGCCAUCUGGAGAACCGGUGGCCGGUGGUGCACGAUCUGGUAAUUUGGAGGCGAGGCAACAUCGUUGACCAGGACACCGUCGAAGAUCUCAUCAUGCCACUGGGAGAGGCGCUCGUCGGGGAUCCCCUCGAUUCGAUGGAUCCGCGAUGGAGGUGCUUAGAUUUUCAAGGUGCUCCCCCACUUCCCCUCACUCUAUCUAGGUUUUUGUACUGACGGUUGGCCCAGACGACAUCGCCGAGUACUUUCCGGCGACACGCGACGACCGACGACGGAGACGAGCGCGAUGAACAAAACAAAGCUAACUCGUGAUCGAUCACCCGCAGUGUAAAGCUAGCCAAGCUAGCAAUCGAUCCUUUGCUUUGAGAACGCACGUGAGACUAGCACAGGAGAGACACGCCGAGUUGUAUCGCACAGAAGGCUCGUGUCGUGCCUUUGGUUUGUAUUGAUUUGAUCUAUCAGCUCACGGUGGUGUUUACAAGGGGAUAGGUACAUAUAUAUACUAGAGAAUUAGGCCUAUACGUAACCUACUCAGUGAAUGUUCUGUAUCCUACACGGAUACGUGCGUACAUCACGUACGAGAGAAACCACGUCGGGUUUAACUCCAACACUGACGGCCUCUGGCUCCAGUAAGUAUCCGCUGAACCUCCGUCCGUGCAGCAUCGCAGGUCACCGGCACGAGCAAAGUGCCACCGAGCACUGCUCCUACAUACUUGCAGCUAGGACACAAUCCUUUUACAUGCCAGUACGUGGGCUGCAACAGCCAUCACUACUAUUGCCUCUCUCUGGCCUGCUCGUUAUUGGCCCAACGCAAGAUGCUCCCAUAUUUCUUCGUGGGAUACUACUUGCACUAGCAUCCAAUACACACGAGCUAGCCGCACGACCGGAUGCACUAUCUUCCAUUGACAUAAUCGCUGCGUACUUGUUCACCUCAACAUCAGCAUACUCUGAUUCGUGCUCUUCAGGUGCCACGUACACCGAAGUGACAUUCGUGUUUCUCAGAUCUGUAACAAGGCUGCUUCUCCACGGCCGAGCACACGCGGCAAUCGCUGCAUCCACUCCAGCGAAGUUAGCACUUAUGCCCGUAACAUCGAUGUAAGCUUCGGAAUCACCCCCCGCGUCCGCAGUAUCGACACGAGUUUCCGAACCAUGAUCUUGAGAGUGAAUCUUUUCUUCAGGGAGCGCGACAAUUUCCUUAGCCGACACUUGAAGAACUGGGUCCUCCUCGUCCACAAGUUCGCUCAUCAACAUCAUGUCACCAUCAUCUCCUUGCUGGGCCAUGAGCGCCUUCUGCGUCGGUGCUUCCUCGCAGUCAGCCUUGAAGUGACCGAGGAGGCCACAGUUAUAACACCUCAUUUUCUUGAUGUCAAACUUUCUCCUCGGUGGCGGUGCAGCCCCAUUGUCUGAGUCGUCAUCUGAGUCAGCGAAGUUCUUUCUCGUCGAGCGCUGCUUGCCCUUCUUCUUGCUGCUCCUUGUGGAUCCGCCUUGCUUUUCAAGGGCGAUCCACUGCGCCUUUGUGAGCAUCACAAGCUCGUCGUUCCUCUCGUCCCCAAGACUGUACCACAUCCACUCAUCAUGAGCCUUGUACCGUCCGACAAGAUCGUCGAUGGAGAGAGUCGCGAGAUCGACGCACUGCUCGAUUGCUGUGACAAUUUGCAGGUAGCGGGGAGGGGCCGCGCGCAAGAACCGCCGGACAACCGAGGUCUCCGUUAGGUUUUCUCCAAGCGCGCGAAUCCGAUUGACGAGAGUAGCUACCCGUGAAGCGAACGCAUCCACGGACUCAUCGUCGCCCAUGACCAAUGUCUCGUAGUUCCUUAGGAGAGUUUGGAGAUUGGCUUGCUUGACGCGGGUGUGUCCCUCGAACAUGAGUUUCAGCGUAUCCCACACCUCCUUCGCCGUUGCUUUGGCGAUCAGGUGCUGGAGGACAUCCAUCGGCAUCACCAAAUAAAUCGCCGACGCCGCCUGCCAAUCCUUCCGGUGCUCGGCUCCCUCCUUCUUGAACGCGUUGCCUCCUGGGUCGACCGCGUCCCAUAGCUCGUUGGCGCGGAGACCACACUCCAUGAGGGCCUUCCAGACCCCGAAAUUUUCGGGAUCAAAUCGUGGGUACGACGAACUCGCCGGAGCAGCAAAUACUUUAGCCGCAUCGGAGUACUCUGCCAGUUGCUUGUUCUUAUCGUCGUCCGCCAUAAUCCUCCGUUACUAGAAGACUAACCUUGCUCUGGAUACCAACUGUUGACCCAGACAACGUCGCCGAGUACUUUCCGGCGACACGCGACGACCGAUGACGGAGACGAGCGCGAUGAACAAAAACAAAGCUAACUCGGGAUCGAUCAGCCGCAGUGUAAAGCUAGCCAAGCUAGCAAUCGAUCCUUUGCUUUGACAAUGCACGUGAGACUAGCACAGGAGAGACACGCCGAGUUGUAUCGCACAAAAGGCUCGUGUCGUGCCUUUGGUUUGUAUUGAUUUGAUCUAUCAGCUCACGGUGGUGUUUACAAGGGGAUAGAUACAUAUAUAUAUACUAGAGGACUAGGCCUAUACGUAACCUACUCAGUGAAGGUUCUGUAUCCUACACGGAUACGUGCAUACAUCACGUAAGAGAGAAACCACGUCGGGUUUAACUCCAACACUGACGGCCUCUGGCUCCAGUAAGUAUCCGCUGAACCUCCGUCCUUGCAGCAUCGCAGGUCACCGGCACGAGCAAAGUGCCACCGAGCACUGCUCCUAUUAGAAGAAACAAUAUUGUUUGGUAUAUACAAUGGUUACCUGACAAGUUCAUCUUCCUCUUUGCAAAUAUUACAUGAUAAGUAAUGGGAUCACUAUCUUUAAUUCUUUCAUGGCAAUCAGGCUAAGUGCAUACCAGAGCGCACACCUCCGCCUUGGGAGUAAAAGGCGUGUGACAUGUGUUUUAGCUUCUAAUAGAAAAACCAAAUAGGUCUAUUUCGUUCUUUAGAUAAAUGUUUCUGAUUGUGUGUGCACGUUGCACACUUACAUCAUGACUGUGAAUGGAAAUCCACAAAGCAAAUGCAUUAAGACCCGAUGUUUUAAUUUAUAGGAUCGAGGCUUCUUCUGUCUGUAUGAAAGCAAAGCUGUAUCGAUAGCCAGUGGAAGGAGCGGGGCACAUGUACAUGAAGCUUGGAUGUAAUCUGCUUUAAACUAUUUUUAAGGGAAUGCAUUACAGCAUGCAGCAAGUUUAGGCCAAGAAAACUGGUAUUGCGGUUGGCCUGUUGCAUUUAUUUCUUGGGCUGGUGGAUGGAUAGGAAGUGGGAUUAUAUCGAUGGACCUAAUGUUAGGCCUACCAAUAGUUAAAUAUAUGCAUAGCUGCCUGGUUUAGCUAUGCUCCAAUUUUUGGCUUGCCCUGAUUGUUUAUAUUAUCUGUCUCAUAACUUAAUUGAUUUCCUGGUUCUCACCUAGGCAUCCCGAUUCUCUCAUCAAAUCCCUCCCUUUUGAUGUGUGAAAUCUGUAACUAGCUACUAGAGAUGUAUUACUAGAUGCUAUCACUAUGUUGAAGUUUUCUUAUAUUGUAAUGUUCUAACCACGAGUUGGGUCACUUCUGCCGGGCCUUCUUGUUGGUAAUAUACUGGUGCUUUUUGUGCUGGAUUAUUUGGUGUAGCAAGAAUGAUAGAGUUCUAUGCCGGAGAAAACAAUGGACAUGGAAAUAGCUGCCUUAUGAACCAAAACUGAAUACUGAAUAAGGAGUUUUGAGAGUUCAGAUCAGAUAGUAACAGAUCUGGCUGAGUACAUCUCACAAGUUUCAGAGAUCUCUGUUAAAGAAAGUGGAUACUUUAUCUGACGGUUUGUGGGGAUUGAAUCGGGAUUGGGUUUGGUCUACUGCAGAUGAGUCACAUGGUGACGCUCGAGGAUGUGGUGUCUGGCAGGGAUCGACACACUCUUUUCCGCCCAGUCUGGCCUGCCCAUGGUCGACGCCAAGGGCAGGUGCAUCGGGUCGUGUCCAAGAAGCACAAGGCCAGGGCAUCCAAUUGGGUCAGUGCUAUACUUCAUCUACCUAACCUGUACUACAUCCUGCAAUUACUUGCAGUUGCUACUUGCAACUCGUAUGCAUCUCUCUUACUAGGUAAAUGAAAUUUUAUUGUUGAAGAAGCAAAUAUUUUGCCAAGUAGAAACAUAUAGCCGAACAAGGUCCUAGAGCGGUGUUGCCAAGAAGCCGGAGCGGAGGCUGGGGAGGCCGGGGCUAGCGGUCACCGAACGGGACUUUUUUAAUUUCAGACCAUGUUUUAUUUUGAGUUGCUUUGAUCUAGCUGGACUUUUGGAAUCUAACUGUUCUCCAAAUUGUGCUUUUUGAUCAUUACAUUAAAUUUUGCAUCCCUGCUUUCAAAGUUGGGCCUUGUUCAUUGCAAAGAAAAGAAAUCUCUUGCACAGCCCUAAAUACAUCACAAGCAGACCGUAGGUUUGGUUAAUGAUGUCACAUGUUGUCUUGCUCUCUGCAUACUUUAGUUUUUAGAUGAAUUUGACUAAUUGUGCAUACACUUUAUUUAGCAACCCAUGUGGAUGUAUAUCCCAAUUCUCUCUAUUAUUUUGUAUGCUUUUCCGUCCUACAAAAUUGCAACUUAUGUUUCUUUUUGGGAAUAAUGUGUUGGUCUUAUACCAGGUAACCCAGUGAAACUGCUGCUUCCCAAUGAGUUCUUUGUUAUAGAAUGACCUUAUGGCAGCAGUACUAAAUAAUAAAAAAUGUGGUGCUGUUUGCCCGUCUCCGCCGUCCCUCACUCUUGCGUUUCUUUCAACUGGUAAGAUGUCCCCUUCUCCCUCUUAAUCCUUUUCUCAAUUAAUUUCUAAUUUGCAUUAUUGUCAAUUAAAUGCCUAUUGAUCUAACAAAUAAUGGUUUGAAAGUGAGUCAAUAAUCAAUAGAAUCAUCAGCACAAACAUUUUAAUGAAAAAUUUUAUGCUUGAUUAGCCUGCUAAAGAUAAAAGAAAAUAAAAAAUUUGUUCGGAGUGAGAGGUUUGAUUGCUUGCUUGGAACCUAACUCUUUUUUUAGGUAGUAGAGAUAAGCAUAUUUGCAACUUAUCUUCACUGAGGAAAUGUUGGCUUGUUCUCAUCACUGGACCUUGUCUUUAUAACUAUCCUGAAUUCUUGAAUUUGAUGGUGCUUGCAAUGGAAAUCCUGGGAAACCAGGCGCUGGUGUAAUAAUAAGGCGGUCGGAUGGAUCUAUGGUAUAUAUGUACGCCAACAGUUACUAUGCUGGUUUGUUUUGUUAGUGUUUAGUUACUUUAACUGAAGAUUGCUCAACUACGAGAGUGUUUGGGUAUUACAACGAAUAAUGGUGCUGAAUAUCAUGCAUUGCUAAGAAGGGAUUCGAAUAUGUUUGUGGUCAAAUCAAAAGAGGUCGAAUGGCAUCUGCUUUCAUCUUGUAUUAUUUUAUCAUCAUGGUCCUCAGUUUAUCCUCGCCAAGGGAAAGUUCUAUGCUGCAUCUGUUAACACAUUUAUAUAUAGGUUAAGGUAGCCCACAUCCUAUCAUUUUAUUUGGGCAAGGAAUAAUUGGAUAAAGGUCUUAAUUGUUAGGGCAUAGAAAAUCUGGUGAAACUAAUCAGAGCUCUUUGAAGAGUUUCUCCGGUUGCUGGAGGCUUUAUUAGCGCUCAGUUUUCUUAUCUUAGCAUAAGUAACACACUUAAAUUUCUGGAGCCGGUCCAAGAUCUCUGGUGUGCUAGGAAUGAUAACAUGGUUGACUUGUGCAAGAAACUUAAGGAAAUGAAGGGAAAUUUUCUACAGUUUCAAAUCAACCAUGUUUUCGGGGUACCUAUCCUAUCUUUUUAUUACCUUGUGAUCUGGUUCAAACUUACUUGUACCAGCCAGUUUGCGGAUCUAUUAUGAAAGGUUGGUGCAUGCUUUUGCUCUUGUACAAAAGCAUACACAUGACUGAAUGACUUGUGAUUUGGCUCGGUUCACACAUGAGAGUGCAAACUUUUUAUCCUUGUUUGGUUUAGCCUGAUUUGUGCUCUGCACAUAUAUUUCUAUGAACGUCACAGUGGGUGGAACGUUGUUGCUUGCCUUUAGUCGGCGCUGCCCGAUUUGGUUCUAUUUAGGUCGUUGUAGGAAUUAACUAGUGUACUUUCUUGUAAUCUAUGAUGAUGACAUGACUGUAGCAUAUAGAAUGGGUCUGGUUCAUGGAACUCGGGAGGGUACAAUUUUUGGUAUAUGAGCAUAACUAAGUUACUUAAUUAUGAUAAUGUUGUAGACAGGGACAACGGUGGGUGAGGCGGGAUAGAUGGCACUGGGUCGCAGUGGAGUGGUUAGGCGAGGAUGUCUCGGCAGGGGACAGCGACCAUCGCAUCCGCUGGUAUGUUCACCAUUAUCAUUUAUGUGUAAUCUCAAAAACGAAGAAAUGCAACCAGAUCUUGUAGGUUAUACCAGGUUCUGUAGCUAUUAUUAUAUCUGUAAUUGCUAGCUUUCAUGUAAUUUACCACCAUUUAAUUACUAUAUGUGAUAGAUAUUUCUCUACUUAUCUUUAUCUUAUAUGAUGUGUUGUUCUACCUACAUAUGUUUCAUUCAGAGUACCGUUAGUUCUUGUAUGCUUGCAUCUUGGAUUGCGUAGACAUGCAAAGUGUCAUUUAAAUUUCUGUUAUUAUAGUUGGGAGGGUUACUCCUCAUUCUGGAACACCCAGUCAGAUUGAUAGAUUUGAUAUAUGUAAACAUUGAUAACCUUAUCAGUACCUUUGCCACUAUCUCUCUAUUGUUUGUCUAUUCCUACAACCCGAUCAGCUUCAAAUACCUACUCUGACAGACAAUUCGCGGUAAACUCGAUUAUUAAUAUCCCUAUUCAUUGCAUUAAUUAUUUAUUUCUAGAGAUUUUUUCUCAUAGCUGUUAUAUUCUUUCUUCCCACAAAUUAAUAUUUUGUUUAAUGAUAUCAAGCAUUCUUAUCUGGCAGAUCAGGCUAGUGACGACGGCCAUCUGGAUGAGCAGCGGCAUGAUCUUUACAAUGAAGCACAAAGCUUGUCAGGCAUUCUUGAUAAAGAGUCGAUAUAUCUAACUAUCUUUGUGCCUGAUUAUACUGAAUGUUGUUCCCUUCCUUCCUUGACAUAUAGAUGGUUUUCUUUUAACAUCUCAUCUCUAUGUCAUGUGGUAGCUACCAUUGAUGAGGUUACAAAAUGGCGAAAAGAUGCAGAAUGAUAUUUCAGUGGCUGAAGUGCUAGAAGAACCAGGAAGUUACUAACAUCAAAAGGACAAGAGAGAAAGGGGAUCUCAAACGUGUAAAACCAUAUUACCCAGUUAGAGAUUCCUAGGAGUUUGUACUGUUUUUUUGAGAUUACAUUGUUGAGUGGUUUUUUUUCUUUCUAGGUGUAUGUCUCUACAAUUAUGCUCCUGUCUUUGCUCCAGCAACAUACUACUUUCAAUAGUAUUACAUAGUUAUCCAUUGACAUGUGUUAACCAGAUUAAAAAAGGUACUGAAAAGGUUGCCAACCUAACAGGCACCGCACAGGUUCCACUCAGGAGGCACGGCAGCACCGUGCCCCAACUGCUAGUUUAGAUCACAACGCGCCCUAUAUAGAGUGCGAGGAGAUCCUCCCGAACGGUGUGUCUGGCGCCAGACAAUAAUAAAACAGAAAAAAACGCAUCUUCUCCCCACGUCUCCCACACUCCACCCCGCAACCGCCCACACCCCUGCGAACCAACCUGUGGUUGGAUGGUUAGAGGGACUGUGGUAUCCCAAGCCCACCAGGGUUCAAGUCCUGGUACUCGCAUUUAUUCCUGGAUUUAUUUUAGGAUUUUCGGUGAUGUGCAUUCGGUGGGAGGACAUGUUCCCGUUGACAACGAAGUGGCUACGGUGACUUCGUAAAUUUCAAGAUGAUAUGCCGGCUCAGUCUUUCAAAAGGUGCUCAUAGGGGUAGGGUGUGCGUGUGUGCGUUCAUAGGGGUGAGUGUAUGCGCGUGUAUAUGAGCGCUUGCGUCUGUACUGUGUUAAAAAAACUGCCCACACCCCCAGAUCCCCCGCCGCUGGCCCCCUCCCCGACCCCCACGCCUCAUCCGCGCCCUCCCCGGACACCGACGCCGCCACGCUCACUCCCCAGAGACCCACGGCGCCAUGCCCCCUCCACGGAGACCCCCGCCGCCACGCGCACUCCUCGGAAACCCGAUGCGCUCCGCCGCAUCCUGCCGCCGCCUCACGCCUCCACCACCGGUCGCCGCUGCUCACCACGUCCCUCACCUCCGGUCAACCCCGCACUUCUACCCUCUGGUCAGCCUUCUCCCGCCCUCUGCCUUAAUCUUCUCCUUCUCUGCCUCCGGGGAACUCCCAGGAUCCUCCCACUAGUCGCUGCCUGGUUCCUCUUUGUGCGUGGCUGGAACGAGCACCUCCUUGCAUGACCCUCUGACCACCAUCGCGACCCACCCCUUCGAUCGCCGGUCUUGUUCUUCAAGCUCCUGGAUCCCGUCGAUGUCGUCGUCGGCAACCCCCUGUGCAGCGCGAAUGCAGGAUGUUUCCGAUGCCUGACGGUGCAGUUGCCGUCCGCAAGGUCCUCCUUGUCCUGUCGAUCCAUUGGUUCGAUCGAUCAAGUUCUGCUUGUCUGGGAAUUGAAGUUCACAUAGAGCAAGGGUUGAAAAAAUACAGAGAGUUUUUUCCUAUGAAGUUCAGAAAAAAUAUGCCUUGACACACUUUUUGUUCGUGCUAGCUCAUAUAACUAUUUUCUUCUUAUAUAUGUGCUCAGAUUUUCGUUUUGCAGAAGAAGGCAUGCUGAGUCUGGCUCUUCGACUGUAGAAUUAAGAUACAAUGAUUUGCUCAUGUCGCUGGCAAAAAUGGAUCCCCUGCAAAAGAGUUGUGCAUUGUGCAUCGAGGAGGGAUCUCAACCUCGCUUCAGAUUUUGUUUCUUCCAUACCCUACUUGUUUCCUUCAAAUGCGUGUGAAAGAACUGCCCUCGACCUGGCCAUUCUGUUGUGUGAUUUGGUCAAUAUUUCCAAUGAUUCAUCUGGUAUAGCUUUCUAUGAUUUUCCAAUCGUACUGUUCCAUGUUGGUUGUUGAGGUGCAAACAAGCAAAAGGUUCUUGUACAUCUAUAGGAAAAUUCACAUACUAGAAAAAGAGUGUGUUUUAUAAAUAAUGUCCACGAAGUUCACUUACUGUUAUCGAGGCAAAUCAUAUAGUUUUUGAACUGAGAGAAUGGUAACCUGAACAAAACAUAAAAACACGAAAAUACCAAUAAAAAUGAUUUUAAAAGACGGAGCAGUUCAAUGUAUAUAAAAAAACCUGGGUUUUCUCGCUACUAAUGAAUAAAACCAAGAAGUUCAAUUGGAAAAAGUGGAGCAGUUUGAUAUUUAUUUGAAAAAAUCAGAUUCUUCCAGUUACUAAAGAAUAAAACUGAUAAGUUCAAUUCAAAAUAACAAAGAAGUUCGAUGUUCUAGAAAAACUCCAACUUUGACAUUUCUAAACAUAGACAAUAAUGAAGUUUGAAUUAAAAAGGUAGAGCGGUUCAAUGCCUAUAAAACUCAGAUAUUUUCACGUCACAGAGAGAAAUUCAAAUUGAUAACUGCUAGAAGUUCACGUACUACACGGUGUGCAUUUUUUAUGAAUAAAAGAAUAAAAAGGCAAAGGCUAAAAGUUUUGUUGCAAGAAAUUCAAGUGCUUGGCCUGGGAAAGUUAAAAUAAUAAUUUGAGAGAGGUUCACCAUGUAUUUACAUGUUCAAAAACACACACAAAAAUAUGUUGUUUUGGUGUUUUAAAAUAAUUAUAUUAUUCUAUUAAAAAUUUGAAACAAAAAUGCUCUACCAUAAAAAAAAUUCUCUUUAUUCAACAACUUUCUAAAAGGGUAUAUCGUAUGAUCUACUCCAAUAUAAACGGUUAAAACAAAUUGGUGUAUGUUGUUUGAAACAAAAUUUUAAUCAUAUAAGGCAAAGUUGUGUCUUUUUAGAAGGUUUCAGAAAGGUGUAUCAUUUGUGCAACUCCGAUGAAUGGGUGAGGAAUUGUGAAUGAAAAUACGUGACAGAAGUUCAAUGUGAAAAUAACAAGGAGUUCAACUACUACACGGUAUGCGUUUCAUAUGAAAAUAAAAGAAUACAAAAGUAAUAGACCUAAAAGGUUUGUUGCAAGUAGUUCACGUGUUCCUACCUACACGAUUCAAAAAUUUAUAUUGUGAUGCAUCCGAGCUUUAAUUACGUGAUAAAAAAAGAGACAAAACAAUGUUGUUUUUCCAUUUUUAAAACUACUCUUAAAUGGAAACGAAUUUGUCAUGAAAAAUUUGCUCCUAUUCAUAAGCUUUCCAACUUUAUAUUAUAUGCUACAUUACGAAAAAAAAAGUUUCAUGUAUACCGUCUAAAGCACAUUUUUAUGUAUUCAGAAAAAAAUCUUUUAAAUCUUCGCGAGUAUGAAAAAAUAAUCAACACAUGAAAUUUUUGUGUUUUCAAUAGCUUUCCAUCGGUAUAUAAUUUUCUCAAUUCCGGUAAGUGGUUGGGAGUUACGGGCAAAAGACAGCACGCGAAAAAUGGAGUGAAGUUCCAACAGAACUGCCCCAGAAGUUCAACCUCUUCACGCAGUGCAUUUCCAGAGACUCUGUUUUCGCAAUUAAGGCAGAACACAUGAUCUCCCGUUUUAUAAAUUACUCAAAAACUGCUAGAAAUGAAAGAAACCUUUCUAUAUAAAAUUUUUCACAUUUUUCAUAGCUUUCGAGCGUACAUUAUUUGUCAUUCCGACAAAGUUCACGAAAAAUACGGCCAAAAAACGUUUUUAUUCAUUUUAGAUAUUACCAUAAAACCAUAAAGAAUUGGUAGAAACAUUCUAUAUCAAGCUUUCCAAUGCCAUAUUAUUUGCUACAUUCCGAUAAAGCAUUUAGAAAAUAAACCGAAAAUACAAACUCGGAGGAACUUCAACCGUUUUCUAAAUUACUUUUAAACCGUUCAAAAUUGGAACGAACUCUAUAUGAAAAAGAAGCGCAUUUUCAUAAGCUUUCCAACACCAUAUCAUUUGCACCAAUCAGAUUAACCAUUUUGGGAAAAAUCCGAAAAUACAAGCUCGGCUGUUCUGUUUGAAAUGUUUUUCCUUUUUUCAAAUCACUCUUGAACCGUAAGGAAUUUGGAAAACUUUCUAUAUGUAGAAUGAGCGGAUUGGAAGAAGCUUUCCAACGCAGUAUUAUUUGCCUCAUUCCGAUAAACGAUUUAGAAAUGAGCGGAUUGGCAGAAGCUUUCCAACUUUCUAUAUGGAAAAAACGGUUUGCAAAACUGCUCUUAAACUAUGUAGAUUUUGUCAAAACUUUAACAUAGGUUGUCACUGGGUGCAGUUCAACUACUACUACGGUGGGUCAGUUAAUUAUUAGAAUAUUAUCCUGACCCUCUGAUUAGAAUAGUGAUUAUGUGUGUGUGUAGUGGAUUUCAGAUAAUAUUAAUGAAGGAAAUAUGCCUAGAGGCAAUAAUAAAGAUGUUAUUUAUAUUUCCUUAUAUCAUGAUAAAUGUUUAUUAUUCAUGCUAGAAUUGUAUUAACCGGAAACUUAGUACAUGUGUGAAUACAUAGACAAACAGAGUGUCACUAGUAUGCCUCUACUUGACUAGUUCGUUGAAUCAAAGAUGGUUAUGUUUCCUAGCCAUAGACAUGAGUUGUCAUUUGAUUAACGGGAUCACAUCAUUGGAGAAUGGUGUGAUUGACUUGAACCAUUCCGUUAGCUUAGAAUUUGAUUGUUUAGUAUGUUGCUAUUGCUUUCUUCAUGACUUAUACAUGUUCCUAUGACUAUGAGAUUAUGCAACUCCCGAAUACCGGAGGAACACGUUGUAUGCUACCAAAUGUCACAACAUAAGUGGGUGAUUAUAAAGGUGCUCUACAGGUGUCUCCGAUGGUACUUGUUGAUUUGGCAUAGAUCAAGAUUAGGAUUUGUCACUCCGAUUGUCGGAGAGGUAUCUUUGGGCCCUCUCGGUAAUGCACAUCACUAUAAGCCUUGCAAGCAAUGUGACUAAUGAGUUAGUUGCGGGAUGAUGCAAUACGGAACGAGUAAAGAGACUUGCUGGUAACGAGAUUGAACUAGGUAUUGAGAUACCGACGAUCGAAUCUUGGGCAAGUAACGUUAACAUACCGAUAACAAAGGGAACAACGUAUGUUGUUAUGCUGUUUGACCGAUAAAGAUCUUCGUAGAAUAUGUAGGAACCAAUAUGAGCAUCCAGGUUCCGCUAUUGGUUAUUGACCGGAGAUAAGUCUCGGUCAUGUCUACAUAGUUCUCGAACCCGUAUGGUCCGCAUGCUUAACGUUAGGCGACGAUCGGUAUUAUGAGUUUAUAUGUUUUGAUGUACCGAAGGUAGUUCGGACUCCUGGAUAUGAUCACGGACAUGAUGAGGAGUCUCGAAAUGGUCGAGACAUAAAGAUCGAUAUAUUGGACGACUAUAUUUGGACAUCGAAAUGGUUCCGGAUGAGAUCGGGCAUAUACCGGAGUACCGGGAGGUUACCGGAACCCCACAGGAGGUAUAUGGGCCUUAUUGGGCCAUAGUGGGAGAGAGGAGAAGGGAGCAAAGGAGGGGGCGCGCCCCCAAGCCCAAUCCGAAUUGGGAGGGGGGCCGGACCCCCUUUCCUUCCGCCUUCCUCCCCCUUCCUUCCACUCGUAGUCCAACUAGGGAAGGGGGGAAUCCUACUCCCGGUGGGAGUAGGACUCCCCAUGGGGCGCGCCAUAGGACGGCCGGCCUCCCCCUCCUCCACUCCUUUAUAUACGGGGGAGGGGGGCACCCCAUAGACACACAAGUUGAUCCUUGAUCUCUUAGCCAUGUGCGGUGCCCCCUCCACCAUAAUCCACCUCAGUGAUAUCGUCGUAGUGCUUAGGCGAAGCCCUGCGGCGGUAGCUUCAUCAUCACCGUCAUCACGCCGUCGUGCUGACGAAGCUCUUCCCCGACACUCUACUGGAUCGUGAGUUCAUGGGACGUCACCGAGCCGAACAUGUGCAGAUCGCGGAGGUGCCUGUAACGCCCAGAUGCGGCUAUAUCUCCCACGUGUCGAGGCACGACUUAGAGGCAUAACCGCAUUGUGGUUUUGUCGCAAGAAGGUCAUCUUUACACAAUCCCAUGUAAUGAACAAGAAUUGGAUAACGAGAGUUGGCUUACAAUCGCCACUUCACACAAUACAUAAAUUAAUUCAUACAUCAUCCAAAAUCCACACUUAGACCGACUACGGUCAAAUCCAAAUGAAAAUAAGAUAACCCCAAAUGCUAGAUCCCCGAUCGUCCCAACUGGGCUCCACUACUGAUCAUCAGGAAAAGAAACAUAGUAACGACCACGUUCCUCGUCGAACUCCCACUUGAGCUCGGUUGCGUCACCUGCACUGGCAUCGUCGGCACCUGCAACUGUUUUGGUAGAAUCUGUGAGUCAUGAGGACUCAGCAAUCUCACACCCGCGAGAUCAAGACUACUUAAGCUUAUAGGAAAGGAUGGUGUAAAGAGGUGGAGCUGCAGCAGGCGCUAAGCAUAUAUGGUGGCUAACAUACGGAAAUGAGAGCGAGAAGAGAAGCAACGCAACGGUCGCGAAGCUAGAAAUGAUCAAGAAGUGAUCCUGAAACAACUUACGUUCAUGCAUAACUCAAACCGUGUUCACUUCUCGGACUCCGCCGAGAAGAGACCAUCACGGCUACACACACGGUUGAUGUAUUUUAAUUGGGUCAAGUGGCAAGUUCUUUACAACCGGACAUUAACAAAUUCCCAUCUACCUCAUAACCGCGGGCACGGCUUUUGAAAGAUAAUACCCUGCAGGGGUGUGCCAACUUAGCCCAUUAUAAGCUCUCACGGUCAACGAAGGAUAAACCUUCUCCCGGAAAGACCCGAUCAGUCUUGGAAUCCUGGUUUACAAGACAUUUCGACAAUGGUAAAACAAGACCAGCAAAGCCGCCCGAUGUGCCGACAAAUCCCGAUAGGAGCUGCACAUAUCUCGUUCUCAGGGCAACACCGGAUGAGACUAGCUACGAGUAAAACCAGUCCUCAAGUUUCCCCAAGGUGGCCCCGCAGGCAGCUCGAUUCAAACCAACACUCGAAGGAGCACUGGCCCGUGGGGGUCUAAAAUAAAGAUGAACCUUGGGCUCGCGAAAACCCAAGGGAAGUGUAGGUGGUAGGUGGUCAAAUGGUAAAACCAAGGUUGGGCCUUGCUGGAGGAGUUUUAUUCAAGGCGAACUGUCAAGGGGGUCCCAUAAAUCACCCAACUGCGUAAGGAACGCAAACUCAAGGAACAUAACACCGGUAUGACUGAAACUAGGGCGGCAAGAGUGGAACAAAACACCAGGCAUAAGGCCGAGCCUUCCACCCUUUACCAAAUAUAUAGAUGCAUUAAUUAAAUAAGAGAUAUUGUGAUAUUCCAAAAUAUCCAUGUUCCAACAUGGAACCAACUUCAACUUCACCUGCAACUAGCAACGCUAUAAGAAGGGCUGAGCAAAAGCGGUAACUUAGCCAAACAACGGUUUGCUAGGAAAGGAUGGUUAGAGGCUUGACAUGGAAAAUAUGGGAGGCAUGAUAUAGCAAAUGGUAGGUAGCGCAGCAUGGCAAUAGAACGAAUAACUAGCAAAGCAAAGAUAGAAGUGAUUUCGAGGGUAUGGUCAUCUUGCCUGAAAGGUUCUCAGAGUUGUCAAAAGCUUGAUCCUCGUAAGCGUACUCAACAGGUUCCUUGUUCACGAACUCGUCUCCCGGCUCUACCCAAAACUAGAACACAAGCAACGGAACCACAAUCAAUCACGGGAAAUGCACAAGCAACAUGAUGCAAAACAUGAAUGAUAUGCGAGAUAUGAUAUGCGAUGCAUAUGCGUGCUCCGAAAAAACGAAUGAACAAGGCAGUAACUUGGCAAACCAAGCAUGCCACUGAAAAGAUGAGAUGAUUUCGGUCAAAAUCGAUAUAAAGAUCACCGGAAACGGAUGCACGGUUUGCAAAUGGCAAGCAAAAUAAGAAUGACACGAUUCUGCGAUUAACAGCAUGAUAGCACUUAGAAUACAUCAAGAAACUAUGCUACAGCACUCCAACAUAGCAACAAAGCAUAUGGAAGUAAUCUACAGGAGAUGCUUGACAAAAGAUGAACACUGAGCUACGGCUAGAUCACACCAUAACAGGUUCAAACAAGGAUGGAAAAAGUGCAAAAGAUAACAUGUUCACAGACUUGGUGAAAUUACUGGACAUGGCAUAAACAGCAUCAGGUAGCAAUGUUCAGAGCAAGAAAAACACAUGAUACAGGAACUUAACAUAGCAAAACAAGGCAUGGAAUUAAUCUACUAAAUGCAUAGAACAAAAGUCCCUUAAUGACCAUAAGCCAAAAAGGAUCAGAAGAUAUGAUGGCAACCAUGUAAACAGAGCAUGGCAGUAACAGUAAUAUGAAGGCAUCUUUGUGAGCUUGAUUCACUCACCACAAAGCAAUGCAUGAAAAAACAAGCAUACCAGGAGAAGAGGGAGACGCGGCCGGAGAGGAGGCGCGUCGGGGCACGGGCGGCGGAGCUCGCCGUGGCGCNNNNNNNNNNNNNNNNNNNNNNNNNNNNNNNNNNNNNNNNNNNNNNNNNNNNNNNNNNNNNNNNNNNNNNNNNNNNNNNNNNNNNNNNNNNNNNNNNNNNNNNNNNNNNNNNNNNNNNNNNNNNNNNNNNNNNNNNNNNNNNNNNNNNNNNNNNNNNNNNNNNNNNNNNNNNNNNNNNNNNNNNNNNNNNNNNNNNNNNNNNNNNNNNNNNNNNNNNNNNNNNNNNNNNNNNNNNNNNNNNNNNNNNNNNNNNNNNNNNNNNNNNNNNNNNNNNNNNNNNNNNNNNNNNNNNNNNNNNNNNNNNNNNNNNNNNNNNNNNNNNNNNNNNNNNNNNNNNNNNNNNNNNNNNNNNNNNNNNNNNNNNNNNNNNNNNNNNNNNNNNNNNNNNNNNNNNNNNNNNNNNNNNNNNNNNNNNNNNNNNNNNNNNNNNNNNNNNNNNNNNNNNNNNNNNNNNNNNNNNNNGCCCGGGGCGGCGGCGGCUUUCGUCCGGCGGCGGUGGACUUGUCCGGUGGCGGCGGGGGCGAUUUGAUCUAGGGUUAGGAGUGGUUUUGCCUGCAAUUUCGGAGGGGGGUGUUUAUAUAGGCAUAGGGAGCUAGGAGACUCCAAAUGGAGUGCGGUUUUCGCCCACACAAUCAUGAUCGAACGACCUAGAGCAUGGAAGUGACUUAGGUGGGUUGUGGGCUGUUUGGAGGGGGGUUUUGCUGCAACACACAAAAGGACUUUGCGGUUACCCGGUUAACCGUUGGAGCAUCAAACGACCUCCAAAUGGAACGAAACUUGACAGGUGGUCUACCGGUGGUAUACCAAGGCCACUUGGCAAAUCUCGGCCCAUUCCGAGAACGUUUUUCUCCCGCUCACGAAACAAGGUCCGAGGGGGCCGACGGGCGCGUGUGGGAGUGUCGGAUCGCGAAACGGACAACGGGGAAAAGGACCGGAUGCAAGUUUUGAAAAACAUGCAGAUGAAAUGCAGAUGAUGACAUGGCAAAAUGCAACACGCAAGCAAAUGACAUGGCAACGACGGCAAAUAACUGGAGAACACCUGGCGCAUCGGAUCCGGGGCGUUACAGUGCCGUACCAUCGAUGCUAGGAUCGGUCGAUCGUGAAGACGUACGACUACAUCAACCGCGUUAUCAUAACGCUUCCGCUUACGGUCUACGAGGGUACGUAGACAACACUCUCCCCUCUCGUUGCUAUGCAUCACCAUGAUCUUGCGUGUGCGUAGGAAAACUGUUGAAAUUACUACGUUCCCCAACAAUUAAAGUGGUCCAUUGCCAAGCAAUGUUGCCAUGAUCGGCAAGUCACAGAAGACAAAUGAGGAGGGAAGGGAACGCGAUGAUCUAGCAACAAACAACAGUCAGCGCAAUAGAAGGAAACAAAUCGCGUGAUUGGAAAACAAUGAAGUGGGAUCUUCGGGUUUUUUUCUCAUGAUUCUACGUGAAUACAUACAAUUUGAGCCGCAUAUUAAUUUUUUGUCCAACGCCCUUCGCAUGGUUUGUGAUGAAGAACCCAGCCACUUUACAAAUAGACCCUUCUAAAAAUAGCUAAUUCAUGAGCGGUCAAGGAACGAUGACAUGGCAUCCACGUGGCUGGUUUUUUCCCCUCUCGGGCCGAUUUGAUCAACUUAACGAGUUUGUGGACUAAAUCUGAUAAUGUCAUGAGUUAUUGUCCUAAAAUGUGCAAUGGGUUCGAGUUUAUGGACCGGCGGCGCAUUUCACUCUUUAUUUGGACACUCAUACCGAAUGUGCAUAAACUUUCCAAUUGUAUACCAAUUCCCCCAAUAAUCAGGACAAAUAUUUGGUUCACGGUUCCCUUUACAUAUUGGGCAUCUCCUUGGCAUGCUUCCAAAGGAAUUGCCUAUGACUUGGUCUAGGCGACAAUCCAUUCUAACAUUCCUACUAGAACAUAAAGAUGUUGCCACACCCACCCAUCUCAAUGCUAGAAUAAUAUAAUUAUUUUAAAAUUGAACAAUACAAGUAUCUAACUUUCCAAUCAAAAUGCUUCAUUGUAGGUUCCAACUCGUCGUCAUGCCGGUUGCAGCACUGGGCACCUCUAGUUGUAGUUGUUAUGGCUCGCCGCCAUGUCCGAUUGCAACACUACGCGCCUCUGGUCCCAACUUAUGUUGUGUCGGCUAUAGAACUGAGCCCCUCCGAUUCUAGAUCCCCGUCGUGCUGGGCAUCUCACCAAACGCAUUUGGUCACACACUUUGCAAUCAUUGCUGUCAUGAGCACCAAACCCCUUUAGUCGCAUACUUUGCAAUCAUUGGUGUCAUGAGCUUACCUAACCACGGUCGAUGGGCUCACACGAAGUUCUAGCUCCACUCACAGCAUGGCUCUUGCUGCUUGCCCCAUGGGUGUUUGAUGUCCUUGGAGUGCCGCACAGCCGACCGACCACUUUGGAGGAGAAGCCGGAAAAAGGACAAGACGCUCCAUAAAAUCUGUCCAUUGAAGUUGGCAGCAUUACUCGAACACUGAUGUUCCAUCAAAUAAAUUGCGAGAGCCAAGGACAUGUUGCAGCCUUUCCUUUACAUAGAAAAAUGACACGACGGUGGAGGAGCGGUGGACAGAAGUAGUCCGGACGGAUGCGUUACUUCCAGGUCCAAAUAGUAGAGAAAAAACACGAGAGGCAAAAAAAGGCUAGCCUUAGGGCAUGUUCGGUACUCCUCCAGCUUCACCAAAUCCACAAAUCUGGCUUCUAUUUCCCGAUGAUGGCUUCUUCCAUGGAUUGCGAUUGAUGAAAAACCGUUCGGCACGCUCGCUCCAGCUUCUCGUACGUGCCAGCAGGCCAACCUGCUCAGACGGACUGGAGCCCAGCUAGGGGAGCUCCUGUUUGACGCUCGCUGCGUCAAACAGAGCGCUCCCCUAUUGGGCCGGCCCAUAUAGCAACCAAUGCACUGUAGCGAGCUGGGUCACUGCAGAGAGUAGGCUAAUGUAGCAGACGGGCUUUGUAUGUCCUGUAGCAGACGAGCUUUGUGUUUCCUGUAGCAACCGAGUUUUAGUGGUUCAAAAAUUUCAAGCUUUUUUAUAAAACGAAUAUUUUUUUAGAACGCAAACAAUUUUCAAAAUUUCUGAACAUUUUUGAAAUUCCAUACAUUUUUUCAAAUUGGGAACAUUUUUUGAGACAUAUAAACUGUUUUUUUAAAUCCAAACUUUUAUUAAAAUGCGAACUUCUUUUGAAACUCCCGAACAAAAAUUGAAACACAAACAUAUGUUUGGAAUUUGCGAACAAUUAUUUAAAUGGAAACAUUUUUUGAAUCUCCCAAAAAAUUUGAAAACAUGAACAUUUUUUGGAAAUUGGCGAACAAAUUUUGAAAAUGGGAAAUUUUUUUAAACUCCUAAACACAAUUUGAAAAGUUCAACUUUUUGAACCUAUGGAUUUGUUUCUAAAAGCGAACUUUUUUUUCAAAAAUGAAGAACAUUUUUUAGAAAAUGAAGAACAUUUUUUUGUAUUUGUGAACAAAUAUUAAUAACAAGAACAUUUUUUGAACUUCUAAACAUUUUUAGAAUUUUCGAAAAGAAUUUGAAAUUCGGGAGAACAAAAAGAAAAUAAAAAAAGAAGAAAAAGGAACUAAAAUGGAAUAAACAAACAGAAAAACGAAGAAAGAAACAGAAAAAGAAAAGGAAACAGAAAACUAGUGAAAAAACCGGGUCAAGAAGCUUCUAGAAGGUUCCCAAAACCGGUUAGGAACCUUCCAGAAUGUUCCAAAAACGGACACUGUAGCACGUGCGAAAUCUCGUAAUUGGGCCGGCCCAUCUUAAUCGCUAGCUCACUCGCCUUUGUGCGAAGCAGCGGCAACUUGAUGCAACGAGCGUCCAUUAGGAUCUUCCCCCAGCUAGCUCAACAGUUAAGGUGGCCUUAGGCCCAGCCGGACACAGGAGGAGAGUAGCUGGGCUUGGCCCAGUUCAGAGUGAAAGAUACUGAUGCCUCCACGUCAUCAGGAGAAUAUAACGAAGGUAGCGAACUGGUACGCAGCCAUCGAGUCACUUGGCGGCUCUGUUGGAAAAGGCAGUGCCUAGGAGGCGCUUAGACAUGCCUAGGCGCUAGGCAAUGGCCAAACGCCUCGCCUAGGUCAUAAGCAGAAGUCUAGGCAGAGCAAGUAAGAAAUUGUCUACCCAAACGAGAAGGCAUGCCAUAUUGCACUGAUAUGCCAAAAGGGCCAUAUUCCAAUCAUAGUAGCUGGUAGUUAACAUACUUAUAUGCCCUAAAUUAAUAAAAUACAUAUAAUAACCACAUAUACACCCUGAUAGUAAAAAUUAUAUAACCGUCUAGGCUGCGCUUAGGGCGCUUAAGCACCGCCUAGGCACUAGGCGAAGGCCAACCGCCUCGCUUACGCCUAUCGCGUUUUCCAACCUUGCUUGGCGGUGGCACUACUCGUAAUUUACGCCAACUCUCGGUUUCCUUUUUCCUGAAUCGCCAGAAACGCCGCUCCAGUUUUUUGUACGUGGACUGUCCUUCGAUCCAGGAAGCUAGCUUCCCUGAGCGGAACCGUUCGGCUCAGCUCCACCGCAGAUUUAGGCGGAUCUGGAAGCUGGAGGAGUACCGAACAGGCCCUUACUCCGUACUUUUGGUUCCCAAUACAAACGAGCUUGUGAGCAAGCCAUAUUUGAUUCAGAGUUAGUUCGAGUGGAAGGAAAUGAAUGAUUUGGUGUCUGUUUGAUUGGAAUGAAGACAAAAAAUAAAAAAUAUAAAUUUGACGCUAGUCCAUGCAGAAGAGAAAAAUUGCAUCCGUCGCAUUCGAAGGAUGGAAAAUAAACGAUCCAUUAGUCUUAGCGGAGGGAAAACACUUAUGUUGCUACAAAACUUUAGCCCCCAAGCACAUAAAGUUGAGCAAGGAAACCAACCCUCCGGCACAGAAUGAAAUAAAUACUUAACACUCCAUACAUCAGGUGUCACAGCGCCGAAGCAGCAUGAUGGAGAGACGGUGCGAAAAAACAGAGUUACAUUACUCUAUAGUCCCAGCGUCGCACAGCCUGACCACUAUGAUGAAGCGAAAAAAAGGGACAUGACACUCCAUGCAUUUAUCUAUUAAAGUAUGCGUCAUUACUCCAACAUAAAUGUCCAGUUGAAGAGAGUGCAAGUGAGAACGACAUAUUGCAACUUUUUCAUGUCAUAGAAAAAUGACCCGGCGGUGCUGGAGCAACUUGGCCCUCUAGAGGGAGGGAAGGGAUGUUGAGAAGUACUCCGGGCAGGUUCGUUUCUUUCAGGCUAGAGAAAAGACGACGUCACCCCAUAUGUUUGGCCCCAAACACACACGAGCUUGUGAGCAAAGAAAAAAUGAGUCGGAGUUAGUACGGGGGAUAGGAAUAAAUGGUUCAAUUUCUGUCCGAGUGGAAUGAAGAGGAAAAAAAUUUACAUUAGUCUAUGUGAAAGGGAAAAGUUUGCAUCCGUCCGAAUCGACCCUAACUCACAUGACGAGUUUAUAAGUAAGAGGAGAAAAGAUGUGCAUUGAUCCAAAUAGAAUCACUAAAAACGGCAUAACGAUGCAAAAACAAUUUUAAAAAAGUCCUGGCAUCGCACUGCCUGACCACUAUAGCGAAGCGGGAAUAAGGGGCAUGACAUUCCAUACAUUUGUCCAUUGAAGUGUGUGGCAUUACACUAACAUAGAUGUCCCAUCCAAGAGGGUAUGAGAUAGAACGUCAUAUUGCAGCUUUUCGUGUAAUAGAAAAAUGACUGUGCGGUUUAGGACCAACUUGGGCCUAUGGAGGGAGGGAAGGAGUGGAGAGAAGUACUCCGGGCGGAUUCGUUUCUUACAGGCUAGAGAAAAGAUGACGUCGCCAUAUACUUUUGUUGCCCAACACACACAAUCUUUUGAGCAAAUAAAUAAUGAGCCGGAGUUAGAACCAGCGGAAGGAAAUAAAUGGUUUGGUGCCGGUCGGAGUGGAACGAAGAGGAAAAAUAAAAAUCUUUAUUUACACUAGUCCGUGUGAAAGGAGAAAUUUGGAGGGAGGGAAGGAGUGGAGACAAGUACUCCGGGCGGAUUUGUUUCUUACAGGCUAGAGAAAAGAAGACGUCGCCAUAUACUUUUGUCGCCCAACACACACAAUCUUUUGAGCAAAUAAAUAAUGAGUCGGAGUUAGAACAAGCGGAAGGAAAUAAAUGGUUUGGUGCCGGUCGGAGUGGAACGAAGAGGAAAAAUAAAAAUCUUUAUUUACACUAGUCCGUGUGAAAGGGGAAAUUUGGAGCUCACACGAAUACUAUAUAAGUAAGAGAGAAAAGAUUUUCGUCGACUCAAAUAGAAUGAACCAAGGUAAAUGAAAAACAGCAUCAAGAUGCAAAAAAUACUUACAUCGCUCCGUACUUCUAGCCCCCAACAUGCACGAGUUAACAGCGACCUAGGGUUACAGGCUGCUGGGCCAAACCCGGCCAGAAGUACGUCACGACCGCUUUUUGCCUCGACAGGCCAGCAUAGCUAGUGCUAGCUUUGCGUCGUCGGCGAUACAUGGUUGAACGUCUCGCUAUUUAACCCGCGAGGUGUCUACCGAAACGAGCGGUGUGGUACUAAAAUACUACUGGCAGGCAGCGUCAGCGGUGCGCUCGUCUUCGGCCCACCGGUGGCUAAGCGCCCUGGUCUUCGCGUCUUCGGCCCACCGGCUAUGCUGGAACGGAUGGAUUUCGCAUAACGAGCACUGCGCGUGCGAGGUCUCCAACCAAGGAAUCAACAGUCUGAAGCCGUACGCAACCACCCUCAAAAAGAAAAAAAGAAGAAGCCGUACGCAACCCGGGAACCAGUUGAGCCAGCUAUCGCUAAUGUACUUUGAUCAUUUGAUGAAGUAGCAUAAUUAUGACACGUACAUAGUAACCAAGUUGAUUUCCCCUCAAAAAAGAAAAACAAGUUCUGUUCUGUACUAAAUGAAGCAGGUUCACCAAUUGAUGCUCUCGUCCGUCCGUCUAGUCUCCGUUGGCCUUAGAACCAUGGGGGCGCGGUGGAUCUCGGCCCUUGUCCAUAGGAUGGCUCCAUUUUUAGAUGGUUCUUUCCGUUUUGUUCGGGUUUCUGUCCUGUUAAGGAAGGCUAGACGGUGGGGGCUUCUUAAACAUGCAAUAAUUUUCUCCCUGCCUGGCCCCUUUCGAUUGUCGGAAUGUGUGUGGAGGUCUCCGGCGUAUCUCACAGGAUUCGUCUGAUGAUUGUCUUUGAUGGAUCUAUUCGGGUCCGGCCUUCGUUCGUUUUAUCUUCAUGUUGGAUCCUUCCGAUCUACGCAUCUUUUCAUCGGUGGUUGUUAAUGUUUUGGUGUGCUGGUCCUAUGAGGACUUAACACUGUUAAAAUAAAUCCGAGGCACUUCGUCGAUCAUCCGAGGAUCAAGCAAUCACACGAGCACGACACCGACAUUUGUUAACGAGAUUCACCGAUAUGGCUACAUCCCCGGGGCUUGACUAUGGGCGCUCCUCCCCGUGACACCGUCACAAUACCGCACACCGGCCACCCGGGCGCCGGCACACGCCGCCGGCUCCCCCUUGCGCGCCUGUGCUAUUAUGUUGGCAUAGAUAACAUCGUGUGUCUAGCCCCGCUAUAUAUGAGAGGCCUAGGAUACAAGUGUCCUACUAGGACACGACUCCAUAUCCUAUCUAAACACAAUACAACUCAGAGUCCAACUGUAACCUAACUUGUACACAAUAUUCGACACAACUCUAACAAACUCCACCUUGGCGAAUAUUCUCCACCACCUUGAAUUUGUCCAUGCGUCAAACUUCCAUGUACAUUGGACUUGAGCUUAUCCCAUGAGAACCGUUGCUACUCCAAAGACUCCAUAUGACUCCACCUGCAACAAGUAGUCCCUUAUUUUCUUGACCACAGUCAACACUCGAGCAAAAUUAAGUUCCUUGUUACUCCAGUUUGUGCUCCCAACUUCCAGAGUAUCAGUCCAACACCAUCACACACUGAUCAAUGACCUGCGUGAAAGUGAACAACUCACAUAUUGGGUGUUACACAUAAGAGUUACCUGAACUCAACAUCACCGCUCCUUUCUUGACCGCCUGCCUAAAACUUGAAGGAAUUUCACCAUUGCUUGUAGUCAUCCCGAGUCAAAUUCGCAGUUGUCUCACCACAUGUAUGACCACCCGAGCCCUGGCCCGUCUCCAUGUCCCCUGCAUACCGCACGCCUUGCCGCUAUUACCGCGUCGAGCCUCCGCUGUCCCGGUCGAAUCUAAAGGGUCGCGAACCCACAUCACUCAACCCCCACUGCAGAGUACCACCGAUCAUCACCGACCGAUGACGAGUUUCACGCUUCCAUCAGACCACUGGGCUCCAGUCCAAACUACGUGUCACUCGCUUUUCUCCAUUGGUGAAUAAGCUUUGAUUCCCUGGAUCCUUACAUCGCAGCCCCUCAAUCCAGCUCCACCUUCAACAUGACUCCAUGGUAGAUGAUCAGUCCACCCCGCGCCCCGUCGACUUCAAGCUCUCAUGUGCACCGUCUUGAAUCGACCCCGCACCAUAGUCUUGUUGAAGCCACACAAGCCUCGGGCCUGUGCCACGUGUUUCCACACCCAAAAGUCGGUCACCAUCGGCGUCACGCUCCAAUGUCGUCAUCGCCGAUCUCACCACCGUCUUCUGUACCAACCGACUUGCGUCGAUCCGUCAGACUAUCUAGUCCGACCCAGGCUCCCAAAUCAAUCCAUGAAUUUCCAUCCAUCACAUGAUAAUUCCGUCUCAGCUGACAUGACUUCCUGUAACGCCUUCAAGCAUCCAUGUUAUGCCAACAAAUCUUUCACCCUUGUCUGCCAUAACCCAAGGUUUUCAGUUCUGUUGAACUUCUCCACCUCAAACCUGAUACCCGAUGGCGCCAUGGUUCUUUGUAUGGCUGACCCUGUGAAAAAUAACCGAGCAGUCUUCCCGUGAUCCCCAAGUACACGAACGAAACCUCCGCGUACUACUAGCAAUCAAUGAACCAGUUGGUCUCCACGUGAAAGUGCUCCCUCGACUCAACUCCAAUACUAGUGCAAUUGCCUUGUCAGCACCUCCAGUUAAUUCCGAUGGACACAUUACCCUGGGCGGCGGCGGGAGGGGGUCAGGAGGGAGGGAGGGAGGGAGUCUAUGGACAGAGUUGUGGCUGCCUGAGCGAGAAAACAUGGCAAAGCCCACAAAAGCUUGUGUCUAGGGACAGUCCCACAGUCCAUCAUAUUCAUCAACCCUGCUGAAUUGAAUGAUUAAACAAUUUGUGUUCAUAUUCUUAUUAAGUGCCACUAAACAUCACAAACCAAAAGGAUAAAUGGAAGAUUAUAAUCUAGCACCUAGUAAAAUAUAUAUUGUCAUCAGCUGUGCAAAAGGUUAGUUCAUCGAUUAGCAUCAAGAAGUACAAAAGAAAGGUAUUUCCUUUCUGAUGAAGUCGAAUACACACCGAAAAAAUCAACAACAAAAUAUGCUUGGUAGUGCCAUUGAUUUCAUGAAACCAAUGGUCAAGCACCUCCAUACAAGGUUGGCACAGUAGGUACCAUAUAUAAGGGAGUGAAAUGUGGUUAAACAUGUCCUCACAGUACCAUUGACUAAAUCAUAUCUCUUGGAUCCUAUCAUUACUAGUAGAAUGCCCGUGCAUUGCUACAGGCUACAAUGCAUAUAAAUGCAUCAAACAAAUAAUUAAGCUAGUCUCUAUGGUCGAAGGUCAUUUCUUCCCCGUGUGUCCGAGCGUGUUCGGACAUCAAAGGGGUGUCUAGUGGGCUACCCAAUAUCCGACCGUCUCGAUGAUCUAGGUUCACCCAAAUCUAUCCCAUUGUGUGUGUGGGGGGGGGGAUGUGGUUGUCCGGAUUAUCCACCAAUUUAUUUCUGACAUGCGUUCCGAACAGAAAAGACCCCACCCCAUGACAGACCCUUCCCUUUUCUUGUUGAACCCUCCCCUCAUCGCUCGGUUUCCGCUGUGGCGGGUCUUGCUGGAGCCCUCUCCUUUAAAACUGGAAGACGCCCGCCUCACCUUCGCCAUGACGUCCUCUGUUCUUCACAUUGUACUUCCCAAUGGGCCGCGAAGGAGGAGUCCCCUGCCAACCGUUCUGCUCUCCUCCCUGACCACCUCCUCUCCCCCCUGUCCAUGCUGAUCCGCCACCGCCAUCAAGGGCUAGGAGGCGUGCGUUGCCCGUGACGCGGCCAAGCCAAGAAGACAAAUCUGAUGUCUUCCGAGCCAUUGACACUUUGUAACAUAAAGUUGAAUAUUGUGUUGGGGAACGUAGUAAUUUCAAAAAAAUUCCUACGCACACGCAAGAUCAUGGUGAUGCAUAGCAACGAGAGGGGAGAGUGUUGUCUACGUACCCUCGUAGACUGUAAGCGGAAGCGUUAUAUCAACGCGGUUGAUGUAGUCGAACGUCUUCACGAUCCGACCGAUUCAAGUACCGAAAGCACGGCACCUCCGAGUUCUGCACACGUUCGGCUCGGUGACGUCCUCGCCUUCUCGGUCCAGCAAGAGGGGCGAAGUAGUAGAUGAGUUUCGGCAGCACGACGGCGUGGUGACGGUGUUGGUGAAGAACAAUCUCCGCAGGGCUUCGACUAAGCACUACGAAAACUAUGACGGAGGAUAAACUAGACGGGACGGGGUUGCCGGCACACGGCUUGGUGUUUCUUGAUGUGUCUUGGGUGAUAGCCCUACCCCUCUAUUUAUAUGUUGAGCCUUGGGGUCGAAACAUGGAGUAAAAGCCUCCACAAAGUCGAUUUCACCCGAAAGGCAAGGGUCCUUCUCGGACUCCAGGGCCAGACGCCAGGGUUCCCGGCGUCUGGACCCAGACGCCAGGGACCCUGGCGUCUGGCCCCUGGACUCCGCAAAACUUCCCUUUGCACUUUCCAAAAACCUCGUGGGCUUUCUUCUUUGGCCCAGAUAAAGUGUUCUCGUGCCCAAACAUUACGGGAAACAUCCGGAACCCCUUCCGAUGGAUGCCGGAACCUUUCCGGAGAUCAAACACUACUAUCCACAUAUCAAUCUUUACUUCCGGACCAUUCCGGAGUUCCUCGUCAUAUCCGUGAUCUCAUCCAAAACUCCGAACAACAUUCGGUCACCAACAUACAUAACUCAUAGUAAUAUAUCGUCAAUGAACGUUAAGCGUGCGGACCCUACGGAUUCGAGAACUAUGUAGACAUGACCGAGACACCUCUCUGGUCAAUAACCAAUAGCGGGACCUGGAUGCCCAUAUUGGCUCCUACAUAUUCUACGAAGAUCUUUAUCGGUCAGACCGCAUAACAACAUACGUUGUUCCCUUUGUCAUCGGUAUGUUACUUGCCCGAGAUUCGAUCGUCGGUAUCUCAAUACCUAGUUCAAUCUCAUUGCCGGCAAGUCUCUUUACUCGUUCCGUAAUACAUCAGCCCGCAACUUACUCAUUAGUUGCAAUGCUUGCAAGGCUUAUAGUGAUGUGCAUUACCGAGUGGGCCCAGAGAUACCUCUCCAACAAUCGGAGUGACAAAUCCUAAUCUCGAAAUACGCCAACCCAACAAGUACCUUUGGAGACACCUGUAGAGCACCUUCAUAAUCACCCAGUUACGUUGUGACGUUUGGUAGCACACUAAGUGUUCCUCCGGUAAACGGGAGUUGCAUAAUCUCAUAGUCAUAGGAACAUGUAUAAGUCAUGAAGAUAGCAAUAGCAGAAUACUAAACGAUCGAGUGCUAAGCUAACGGAAUGGGUCAAGUCAAUCACAUCAUUCUCCUAAUGAUGUGAUCCCGUUAAUCAAAUGACAACUCAUGUCAAUGUCUAGGAAACUCAACCAUCUUUGAUUAACGAGCUAGUCAAGUAGAGGCAUACUAGUGACACUAUAUUUUUCUAUGUAUUCACACAUGUACUAAGUUUCCGGUUAAUACAAUUCUAGCAUGAAUAAUAAACAUUUAUCAUGAUAUAAGGAAAUAAAUAAUAACUUUAUUAUUUCCUCUAGGGCAUAUUUCCUUCAGUCUCCCACUUGCACUAGAGUCAAUAAUCUAGUUCACAUCACCAUGUGAUUUAACACCAAUAGUUCACAUCACCAUGUGAUUAACACCCAUAAUUCACAUCGUCAUGUGACCAACACCCAAAGGGUUUACUAGAGUCAAUAAUCUAGUUCACAUCGCUAUGUGAUUAACACCCAAAGAGUACAAAGGUGUGAUCAUGUUUUGCUUGUGAGAGAAGUUUAGUCAACGGGUCUGCCACAUUCAGAUCCGUAUGUAUUUUGCAAAUUUCUAUGUCAACAGUGCUCUGCACGGAGCUACUCUAGCUAAUUGCUCCCACUUUCAAUAUGUAUCCAGAUUGAGACUUAGAGUCAUCUGGAUCAGUGUCAAAACUUGCAUCGACGUAACCCUUUACGACGAACCUUUUUGUCACCUCCAUAAUCGAGAAACAUAUCCUUAUUCCACUAAGGAUAAUUUUGACCGCUGUCCAGUGAUCUAGUCCUAGAUCACUAUUGUACUCCCUUGCCAAAUCAGUGUAGGGUAUAUAAUAGAUCUGGUACACAGCAUGGCAUACUUUAUAGAACCUAUGGCUGAGUCAUAGGGAAUGACUUUCAUUCUCUUUCUAUCUUCUGCCGUGGUCGGGUUUUGAGUAUUACUCAAUUUCACACCUUGUAACAUAGGCAAGAACUCUUUCUUUUACUGUUCCAUUUUGAACUACUUCAAAAUCUUGUCAAGGUAUGCACUCAUUGAAAAAACUUAUCAAGCGUCUUGAUCUAUCUCUAUAGAUCUUGAUGCUCAAUAUGUAAGCAGCUUCACCGAGGUAUUUCUUUGAAAAACUCCUUUCAAACACUCCUUUAUGCUUUGCAGAAUAAUUCUACAUUAUUUCCGAUCAACAAUAUGUCAUUCACAUAUACUUAUCAGAAAUGCUAUAGUGCUCCCACUCACUUUCUUGUAAAUACAGGCUUCACCGCAAGUCUGUAUAAAACUAUAUGCUUUGAUCAACUUAUCAAAGCGUAUAUUCCAACUCCGAGAUGCUUGCACCAGUCCAUAGAUGGAUCGCUGGAGCUUGCAUAUUUUGUUAGCACCUUUAGGAUUGACAAAACCUUCUGGUUGAAUCAUAUACAACUCUUCUUUAAUAAAUCCAUUAAGGAAUGCAGUUUUGUUUAUCCAUUUGCCAGAUUUCAUAAAAUGCGGCAAUUGCUAACAUGAUUCGGACAGACUUAAGCAUAGAUACGAGUGAGAAACUCUCAUCGUAGUCAACACCUUGAACUUGUCGAAAACCUUUUGCGACAAUUCUAGCUUUGUAGAUAGUAACACCACUAUCAGCGCCUGUCUUCCUCUUGAACAUCCAUUUAUUUUCCAUGGCUUGGCGAUCAUCGGGCAAGUCAACCAAAGUCCAUACUUUGUUCUCAUACAUGGAUUCCAUCUCAGAUUUCAUGGCCUCAAACCAUUUCGCGGAAUCUGGGCUCAUCAUCGCUUCCUCAUAGUUCGUAGGUUCGUCAUGGUCAAGUAACAUGACCUCCAGAACAGGAUUACCGUACCACUCUGGUGUGGAUCUCACUCUGGUUGACCUACGAGGUUCGGUAGUAACUUGAUCUGAAGUUACAUGAUCAUCAUCAUUAGCUUCCUCACUAAUUGGUGUAGGAGUCACAAGAACAGAUUUCUGUGAUGAACUACUUUCCAAUAAGGGAGCAGGUACAAUUACCUCAUCAAGUUCUACUUUCCUCCCACUCACUUCUUUCGAGAGAAACUCCUUCUCUAGAAAGGAUCCAUUCUUAGCAACGAAUGUCUUGCCUUCGGAUCUGUGAUAGAAGGUGUACCCAACUGUCUCCUUUGGGUAUCCUAUGAAGACACAUUUCUCCGAUUUGGGUUGAGCUUAUCAGGAUGAAACUUUUUCACAUAAGCAUCGCAACCCCAAAUUUUAAGAAACGACAACUUUGGUUUCUUGCCAAACCACAGUGCAUAUGGUGUCGUCUCAACAGAUUUAGAUGUUGCCCUUUUUAACGUGAAUGCAGCUAUCUCUAAUGCAUAACCCCAAAACGAUAGUGGUAAAUUGGUAAGAAACAUCAUAGAUUGCACUAUAUCCAAUAAAGUACGGUUAUGACGUUUGGACACACCAUUAUGCUGUGGUGUUCCAGGUGGCAUGAAUUUUUGAAACUAUUCCACAUUGUUUUAAUUGAAGGCCAAACUCGUAACUCAAAUAUUUGUGUCUACGAUCAGAUUGUAGAAACUUUAUUUUCUUGUUACGAUGAUUCUCUACUUCACUCUGAAAUUCUUUGAACUUUUCAAAUGUUUCAGACUUAUGUUUCAUCAAGUAGAUAUACCCAUAUCUGCUCAAAACAUCUGUGAAGGUCAGAAAACAAUGAUACCCGCCGUGAGCCUCAACACUCAUUGGACCGCUUACAUCGGUAUGUAUUAUUUCCAACAAGUCAGUGGCUCGCUCGUUGUUCCGGAGAACGGAGUCUUAGUCAUCUUGCCCAUGAGGCAUGGUUCGCAAGCAUCAAGUGAUUCAUAAUAAAGUGAUUCCAAAAGCCCAUUAGCAUGGAGUUUCUUCAUGCGCUUUACACCAAUAUGACCUAUACGGCAGUGCCAUAAAUAAGUUGCACUAUCAUUAUUAACUUUGCGUCUUUUGACUUCAAUAAUAUGAAUAUGUGUAUCACUACAAUCGAGAUCCAACAAACCAUUUUCAUUGGGUGUAUGACCAUAGAAGGUUUUAUUCAUGUAAACAGAACAACAAUUAUUCUCUAAUUUAAAUGAAUAACUGUAUUGCAAUAAACAUGAUCAAAUCAUAUUCAUGCUCAACGCAAACACCAAAUAACAUUUAUUUGGGUUCAACACUAAUCCCGAAAGUAUAGGGAGUGUGCGAUGAUGAUCAUAUCAAUCUUGGAACUGCUUCCAACACAUAUCGUCACUUCACCCUUAACAAGUUUCUGUUCAUUCUGCAACUCCCGUUUCGAGUUACUACUCUUAGCAACUGAACUAGUAUCAAAUACCGUGGGGUUGCUAUAAACACUAGUAAAGUACACAUCAAUAGCAUGUAUAUCUAAUAUACCUUUGUUCACUUUGCCAGCCUUCUUAUCCGCCAAAUACUUGGGGCAGUUCUGCUUCCAGUGACUAGUCCCUUUGCAGUAGAAACACUUAGUCUCAGGCUUAGGUCCAGACUUGGGCUUCUUCACUUGAGCAGCAACUUGCUUGCCGUUCUUCUUGAAGUUCCCCUUCUUCCCUUUACCCUUUUUUGGAAACUAGUGGUCUUGUUAACCAUCAACACUUGAUGCUUUUCUUGAUUUCUACCUUCGUCGAUUUCAGCAUCACGAAGAGCUUGGGGAUCGUUUCCGUUAUCCCUUGCAUAUUAUAGUUCAUCACGAAGUUCUAGCAACUUGGUGAUAGUGACUAGAGAACUCUGUCAGUCACUAUUUUAUCUGAAGAUUAACUCCUACUUGAUUCAAGUGAUUGUAGUACUCAGACAAUCUGAGCACAUGCUUACUGGUUGAGCUAUUCUCCUCCAUCUUGUAGGCAAAGUAAUGUCAGAGGUCUCAUACCUCUCGACACGGGCAUGAGUAUGAAAUACCAAUUUCAACUCUUCGAACAUCUUAUAUGCUCUAUGGUGUUCAAAACAUUUUUGAAGUCCCGGUUCUAAGCCGUAAAGCAUGGUGCACUAAACUAUCAAGUAGUUAUCAUACCGAGCUUUGUCAAACGUUCAUAACGUCUGCAUCUGCUCCUGCAAUAGGUCUGUCACCUAGCGGUGCAUCAAGGACAUAAUUCUUCCGUGCAGCAAUGAGGAUAAUCCUCAGAUCACGGAUCCAAUCCGCAUCAUUGCUACUAACAUCUUUCAACUUAGUUUUUUCUAGGAACAUAUCAAAAAUAAAACAGGGGAGCUAAACGUGAGCUAUUGAUCUACAACAUAGAUAUGCUAAUACUACCAGGACUAAGUUCAUGAUAAAUUAAAGUUCAAUUAAUCAUAUUACUUAAGAACUCCCACUUAGAUAGACAUCCCUCUAAUCCUCUAAGUGAUCACGUGAUCCAAAUCAACUAAACCAUGUCUGAUCAUCACGUGAGAUGGAGUAGUUUCAAUGGUGAACAUCACUAUGUUCAUAUCUACUAUAUGAUUCACGCUCGACCUUUCGGUCUCAGUGUUCCGAGGCCAUAUCUGCAUAUGCUAGGCUUGUCAAGUUUAACCAGAGUAUUCCGCGUGUGCAACUGUUUUGCACCCGUUGUAUUUGAACGUAGAGCCUAUCACACCCGAUCAUCACGUGGUGUCUCAGCACGAAGAACUUUCGCAACGGUGCAUACUCAGGGAGAACACUUAUACCUUGAUAAUUUAGUGAGAGAUCAUCUUAUAAUGCUACCGUCAAUCAAAGCAAGAUAAGAUGCAUAAAAUAUAAACAUCGCAUGAAAUCAAUAUAAGUGAUAUGUAUGGCCAUCAUCAUCUUGUGCUUGUGAUCUCCAUCUCCGAAACACCGUCAUGAUCACCAUCGUCACCAGCGCGACACCUUGAUCUCCAUCGUAGCGUUGAUGUCGUCUCGCCAACUAUUGCUUCUACGACUAUCGCUACCGCUUAGUGAUAAAGUAAUGCAAUUACAGGGCGAUUGCAUUGCAUACAAUAAAGCGACAACCAUAUGGCUCCUGCCAGUUGCCGAUAACUUGGUUACAAAACAUGAUCAUCUCAUACAAUAAAAUAUAGCAUCAUGCCUUGACCAUAUCACAUCACAAUAUGCCCUGCAAAAACAAGUUAGACGUCCUCUACUUUGUUGUUGCAAGUUUUACGUGGCUGCUACAGGCUUAGCAAGAACCGUUCUUACCUACGUAUCAAAACCACAACGAUAAUUCGUCACGUUAGUGCCGUUUUAACCUUCUCAAGGACCGGGCAAAGCCACACUCGGUUCAACUAAAGUUGGAGAAACCGACACCCGCCAGCCACCUGUGUGCAAAGCACGUCGGUAGAACCAGUCUCGCGUAAGCGUACGCGUAAUGUCGGUCCGGGCCGCUUCAUCCAACAAUACCGCCGAACCAAAGUAUGACAUGCCGGUAAGCAGUAUGACUUGUAUCACCCACAACUCACUUGUGUUCUACUCGUGCAUAUAACAUCAACGCCUAAAACCAGGCUCGGAUGCCACUGUUGGGGAACGUAGUAAUUUCAAAAUUUCCUACGCACACGCAAGAUCAUGGUGAUGCAUAGCAACGAGAGGGGAGAGUGUUUUCUACGUACCCUCGUAGACCGUAAGCAGAAGCAUUAUAUCAACGCGGUUGAUGUAGUCGAACGUCUUCACGAUCCGACCGAUCCAAGUACCGAAAGCAUGGCACCUCUGAGUUCUGCACACGUUCGGCUCGGUGACGUCCUCGCCUUCUCGAUCCAGCAAGAGGGGGCGAAGUAGUAGAUGAGUUCCGGCAGCACGACGGCGUGGUGACGGUGUUGGUGAAGAACAAUCUUCGCAGGGCUUCGCCUAAGCACUACGAAAACUAUGACGGAGGAUAAACUAGAGGGGCGGGGUUGCCGGCACACGGCUUGGUGUUUCUUGAUGUGUCUUGGGUGAUAGCCCUACCCCUCUAUUUAUAUGUUGAGCCUUGGGGUCGAAACUUGGAGUAAAAGCCUCCACAAAGUCGGUUUCACCCGAAAGGCAAGAGUCCUUCUCGGACUCCAGGGCCUGACGCCAGGGUUCCCGGCGUCUGGACCAGACGCCAGGGACCCUGGCGUCUGGCCCCUGGACUCCGCAAAACUUCCUUUUGCGCUUUCCAAACACCUCGUGGGCUUUCCCCUGUGGCCCAGAUAAAGUGUUCUCGUGCCCAAACAUUUCGGGAAACAUCCGGAACCCCUUUCCGGAGAUCAAACACUACUAUCCACAUAUCAAUCUUUACUUCCGGACCAUUCCGGAGUUCCUCGUCAUAUCCGUGAUCUCAUCCAAAACUCCGAACAACAUUCGGUCACCAACAUACAUAACUCAUAGUACUAUAUCAUCAACAAACGUUAAGCGUGCGGACCCUACGGGUUCGAGAACUAUGUAGACAUGACCGAUACACCUCUCUGGUCAAUAACCAAUAGCGGGACCUGCAUGCCCAUAUUGGCUCCUACAUAUUCUACGGAGAUCUUUAUCGGUCAGACCGCAUAACAACAUACGUUGUUCCCUUUGUCAUCGGUAUGUUACUUACCCGAGAUUCGAUCGUCGGUAUCUCAAUACAUCAUCCCGCAACUAACUCAUUAGUUGCCAUGCUUGCAAGGCUUAUAGUGAUGUGCAUUACCGAGUGGGCCCAGAGAUACCUCUCCGACAAUCGGAGUGACAAAUCCUAAUCUCGAAAUACGCAAACCCAACAAGUACCUUUGGAGACACCUGUAGAGCACCUUUAUAAUCACCCAGUUACGUUGUGACGUUUGGUAGCACACAAAGUGUUCCUCCGGUAAACGGGAGUUGCAUAAUCUCAUAGUCAUAGGAACAUGUAUAAGUCAUGAAGAAAGCAAUAGCAGAAUACUAAACGAUCGAGUGCUAAGCUAACGGAAUGGGUCAAGUCAAUCACAUCAUUCUCCUAAUGAUGUGAUCCCGUUAAUCAAAUGACAACUCAUGUCAAUGGCUAGGAAACUCAACCAUCUUUGAUUAACGAGCUAGUCAAGUAGAGGCAUACUAGUGACACUAUGUUUGUCUAUGUAUUCACACAUGUACUAAGUUUCCGGUUAAUACAAUUCUAGCAUGAAUAAUAAACAUUUAUCAUGAUAUAAGGAAAUAAAUAAUAACUUUUUUAUUGCCUCUAGUGCAUAUUUCCUUCAUAUUGUGCAUUACCACGAAACAAAAAUAUGAUGUCCGUUGUUGGGCAUGCAAAUUAUACACCACCAUGUGUUUUAUUAGCUCCUGAAGCAACAAAUAAAUGCAUUUACCCUCCUAUCUUAACCAAAAAUUUGUAUGACUUGAAGAAAAAAAAAUAUGAACCACUCGCUCAUGCAAUUUCUGCAAAGCCAUCUCUAAUAAAAUGUAAUUUGGCACAUUUUUUUAAAGUAGGAAACUUAUUUUGCUCAGAGCUGUAACUAAACAGGCCAACCCCAACCCCCAUCUCUCUUACUAUCGAUCCUCACUCUUAUCACAAAAUGCACUACUAAGCGAGCCAAUGAUCAACGCCGCCAUGGCAGGUCAGCAACAAGGGACAAGGGCGGCAACUGCCUUCCCUUCUUAGUUCUAGUACCUCCUUUCCAUCAAAUCAAAUUUAAGGUAUUUAUAAAACAUUAUGCACUAAGGACUUAGGAGUAAUAUAAUUAGAUCCACCCCUCUCUUUCUGUCUCAUAUCUCUGAAUUUAAAUAUAUAACCAUUUAAAUAUUGACUCUCUCUCUCUCACUCUCUCUCUCUCUCUCUCUAGCUAGAUAGAUAGAUAGAUAGAUAACACUCAACAUUAAAUCUGUUGAUUGUAAGAGGAAGAAUGAGUCUGCUGUAGUGAGUACUGACACAGAAGAUUCCACUGAGGUCUCUCCGGAUCUUCUAGGACAAAUGCUUGUGAUGCUUGAUGAAGAUGUUGUAUUUAAGAAGUCUAAAAGGACCACCUGGGCUGGUCAUAUUCUAGAGUGGUAUAAGAAUUUGGGGAAUUUUAGAAUUUGCCCCAUGUUCUAUAUGUUUUCGACAUAGUACAAUCGAAGAUGCUCACAUACACGAGCAUACACUUACCCCUCUGAACGCACACACCACACCCAACCCUAUGAGCUCCUUCGCGAGACUAAGAUGGCACAUCAUCUUGAGAUUCAUGAAGUCACCACAGACGCCUUCAUAGUCAAGGGGAACGCCUCCUCUCACUGAAUGCACAUUGCCGGAAGGCCUCGAGUAAAUCCAAAAAAUCAUGGGGUUCACACUGUUUAUUUGGGACUAAAGUACGCCACUAGUCCAUAAACUCAAACAGAUUGCAUAGUUUAGGCCAACAACUCGGGAACUGAUCAGACUUAGUAUGUAAACUCGUUAAUUUGGUUAAAUAAGGCCAAAACCGGCUGAGCGGAAAAAAUGACCACAUCAAUGCCAUGUCAUCAUUUCUUUCACCGCUCAUAAAUUAACUAUUUGUUGGGCAUCUAUUUGCAAAUUGGUUUCGUUUUUUUUUCUCACAAACCAUGCUAAAGGCGUGGGAGCGAAAAAAUAUUAAAAAAACAUUGCAUUGCCUAUGACUUAAACCAACAACCUGUUUCCACCAGAACUGACCACCAGAACAACAACCUGUUUCCACACUAACAUGCAGACCGAUAUAUAUAGACAUACAUAUAUACACUCUUAGAAUCAGUAGAAAAAUAUUAAAAACCUGUGUUCUGUAGGACUUGAACCCAGGUCAACUAGGUUAUAUAUCGGAAUCCAAAACAAUACACCAUGAAAUGAUUCAUGUACCAAAAUCUUAUAUUUACUAAUUGAAGGCACCAUACAAGCCUCCACGCUAAUCCUAAAAAACUACUUAUAAGUAACCAUUAGAUCUUAAUCCCGCGUCUAGAAUUAAAUGAGAUAUAGAAACUAUUGCCAUCUUUAGCAAUAUGUACAUUUAAAAGUAAGAGAUGCAACCAGGCAAGGGUCCAUACAUACUACACUUGAAAGGAAACGUGCCAUAUACCCAGCCUUAUUAUUAAAAAGUAAAUCAGGUAAACAAAGGAGUCUUCACGCUAUAAAAAUCACCAUGUUCAUCUAUGUACGUAAAGAUUUAAGCCUAUACGUACACAAAGGAUAGGUCCUGCCUUAUUAUAAAAAAGUAAAUAAGGUAAAAAAAGGAGUCCUCACGGUAUAAAAAUCUGGCCAUGUUCAACUACGUCAAAGUUACAAUAAAUCAGGUGCCUUCACCAUUUUGAAAACGAAGGCAAAAAAGGUACGUACGGAACAUGUGCCUUUUCCUCACGCUAAAAAAUGAGCGCACAAUUUCAAAAAAAAAAAA